This 88-nucleotide transfer RNA is filed under the name Alphaproteobacteria bacterium. Its description in RNAcentral is "tRNA-Leu". It matches the Rfam family "tRNA". From Rfam's summary of the family: Transfer RNA (tRNA) molecules are approximately 80 nucleotides in length. Their secondary structure includes four short double-helical elements and three loops (D, anti-codon, and T loops). Lineage: Bacteria; Pseudomonadati; Pseudomonadota; Alphaproteobacteria. The record is from RNAcentral.
GCGGAUAUGGCGGAACUGGUAGACGCAACAGACUUAAAAUCUGUUGAGGAUUUUCCUCGUGCCGGUUCGAUUCCGGCUUUCCGCACCA